AGUGAACGCUGGCGGUAGGCCUAACACAUGCAAGUCGAACGGCAGCACAGUAAGAGCUUGCUCUUACGGGUGGCGAGUGGCGGGCGGGUGAGGAAUACAUCGGAAUCUACUUUUUCGUGGGGGAUAACGUAGGGAAACUUACGCUAAUACCGCAUACGACCUACGGGUGAAAGCAGGGGAUCUUCGGACCUUGCGCGAUUGAAUGAGCCGAUGUCGGAUUAGCUAGUUGGCGGGGUAAAGCCCCACCAAGGCGACGAUCCGUAGCUGGUCUGAGAGGAUGAUCAGCCACACUGGAACUGAGACACGGUCCAGACUCCUACGGGAGGCAGCAGUGGGGAAUAUUGGACAAUGGGCGCAAGCCUGAUCCAGCCAUACCGCGUGGGUGAAGAAGGCCUUCGGGUUGUAAAGCCCUUUUGUUGGGAAAGAAAAGCAGCAGGUUAAUACCCCGCUGUUCUGACGGUACCCAAAGAAUAAGCACCGGCUAACUUCGUG
RNAcentral lists this ribosomal RNA (492 nucleotides) under uncultured bacterium. RNAcentral describes it as "partial 16S ribosomal RNA". It matches the Rfam family "Bacterial small subunit ribosomal RNA", at positions 29 to 507 of the family's 1533-position model. The record is from RNAcentral.